UUUCCAGAGAUGGAUUGGUGCCUUCGGGAACUGUGAGACAGGUGCUGCAUGGCUGUCGUCAGCUCGUGUUGUGAAAUGUUGGGUUAAGUCCCGCAACGAGCGCAACCCUUAUCCUUUGUUGCCAGCGGUUAGGUCGGGAACUCAAAGGAGACUGCCAGUGAUAAACUGGAGGAAGGUGGGGAUGACGUCAAGUCAUCAUGGCCCUUACGACCAGGGCUACACACGUGCUACAAUGGCGCAUACAAAGAGAAGCGACCUCGCGAGAGCAAGCGGACCUCAUAAAGUGCGUCGUAGUCCGGAUUGGAGUCUGCAACUCGACUCCAUGAAGUCGGAAUCGCUAGUAAUCGUGGAUCAGAAUGCCACGGUGAAUACGUUCCCGGGCCUUGUACACACCGCCCGUCACACCAUGGGAGUGGGUUGCAAAAGAAGUAGGUAGCUUAACCUUCGGGAGGGCGCUUACCACUUUGUGAUUCAUGACUGGGGUGAAGUCGUAACAAGGUAACCGUAGGGGAACCUGCGGUUGGAUCACCUCCUUACCUUAAAGAAGC
This 548-nucleotide ribosomal RNA is filed under the name Salmonella enterica. RNAcentral's name for it is "bacterial SSU rRNA". It matches the Rfam family "Bacterial small subunit ribosomal RNA", at positions 997 to 1533 of the family's 1533-position model. The record is from RNAcentral. Lineage: Bacteria; Pseudomonadati; Pseudomonadota; Gammaproteobacteria; Enterobacterales; Enterobacteriaceae.